This is a non-coding RNA of Cinara cedri, 485 nucleotides long. NCBI's taxonomy places the organism in Eukaryota, Metazoa, Arthropoda, Insecta, Hemiptera, Aphididae. The record is from the annotation of a GenBank genome assembly.
UUUAUUUUAAAUCUUUCUAAAUACACUUUCCAGUACAUUUACUUUGUUACGACUUGUCUUAUUUUUAAUAAGAAUGACGGGCAAUAUGUACAUAUUUUAGAUUUAAAUAAAUAAAUAAAUUUACUAUUAAAUCCAAAUUUCAUUUCAAUUUUCAUUUAAAAUCCAUAAAUAUUUAAUUUAAUGUAUUCAUUUAAAACUUAUUUAUAAACUAAGUACAUCUUGACUUAACAUAAAUUAUUAAAUUAAUUUUUAAAUAUAUUCAUGACAGCGAUAUAUAAAUUAAAAAAUAAGUAAAAUUAAUCGUGGAUUAUCAAUUACUCAACAGGUUCCUCUAAUAAGACUAAAAUACCGCCAAAUUUUUUAAAUUUAAGUAUAACUAUUAAUUUUUAAGUAAUUAAUAUUUAUAUUUUUAUAAUAGGGUAUCUAAUCCUAGUUUAAACUAAAAUUUAAUAGAAUAAAAUAAUUAUAAAUUUAAUUUCACCUUA